This 862-nucleotide ribosomal RNA is filed under the name Coelastrum sp. F187. Its description in RNAcentral is "16S ribosomal RNA". Lineage: Eukaryota; Viridiplantae; Chlorophyta; Chlorophyceae; Sphaeropleales; Scenedesmaceae. The record is from RNAcentral.
AAAUCUACAUGCAAAUAUUGGUAAGGUUUUAGACGUUGGUUUUCUAUUAAACCCCAAUGUUCCACCAUUGUUCUCUCUAGCAGCCAAUUCUUUUGAGUUUCUGCCUUGCGACGGUACUCCCCAGGCAGAGUGCUUUUACAUUUGGCGUUCACAGUCUUUGAUUUUGAACUGUAAAGCACUCAUCGUUGACGGUGUGGGCUACUGAGGUCUCUAAUCUCAUUUGUUCUCCACACUUCCGCAGCUCAGUGUCAAUUCAUAGCCAGGUAAGUGCCUUCGCUUUAGACAUUCCAACCCUUAUGCCACUAUUCUACCAGUACUAGGGCCAUUCUCUUACCCAUACUAUGAUUCAAGAAAGUUUGUUUCCUUAUGCUGGUUUGAUCAAUCACACCUUUGCUAUGCAAAGGGCUCACGCCCUUUACAAUCAGAACCAAACAAACUACCUACCUGCUUUUUAUGCCUAGUCCAUAAGCUCAACACUCUCCCUCUCUGUAUUACCGCGGCGGCUGGCACAGAGUUUGCCAGGGAUUUUAUUUUUGAUAUUUCAAAAGAGAAUAGAGAAAUCACUUCUUCUCUUUUUAAAAAACUUUCUCUAUGAAAAAGAGAAAGUACAAAUAUUUCUUCUUCUUUGUCAAAAAUAAAAAAGGGUUUCGACAAUUUGCCUUCCCUCUAGUGGAUGGAAUCUUUUCUUCCAUACCUUACGCAGAAACGCAUGAUCAGACUUUCGUCCAUUGUCAAAGAUUCUUCACUGCUGCCGUAAAUACGGAUGGGCCUUGUUUCAGUCCCACUGUGGCCUUUACCCCGGUCAGGAAGGCUAUGGAUCCUUGGCUUGGAAUGCUGUAACCAUCCCAACUACCUAAUCCAG